Molecule: small nucleolar RNA, 143 nt
Organism: Pteronotus mesoamericanus
Lineage: Eukaryota; Metazoa; Chordata; Mammalia; Chiroptera; Mormoopidae
Product: U8 small nucleolar RNA
Exons: 1
Source: RefSeq, a predicted model, not a curated record
UCAUCAGGUAGGAUAAUCCAUACCUGUUUCUCCUUUUUUGGAGAACAGAUUAGAAUAUGAUGAUUGGAGUUCGCAUAAUUCGUGAUUAAUGUCUCUGCGUAAUCAGGACUUGCAAAAAAAAGUCUAAAAAAAGCAUUUUUUAA